Molecule: ribosomal RNA, 674 nt
Filed under: uncultured Acinetobacter sp.
Lineage: Bacteria; Pseudomonadati; Pseudomonadota; Gammaproteobacteria; Moraxellales; Moraxellaceae
Description: bacterial SSU rRNA
Rfam family: Bacterial small subunit ribosomal RNA
Source: RNAcentral
AGAGUUUGAUCAUGGCUCAGAUUGAACGCUGGCGGCAGGCUUAACACAUGCAAGUCGAGCGGGGAAAUGUAGCUUGCUACAUUACCUAGCGGCGGACGGGUGAGUAAUGCUUAGGAAUCUGCCUAUUAGUGGGGGACAACAUCUCGAAAGGGAUGCUAAUACCGCAUACGUCCUACGGGAGAAAGCAGGGGACCUUCGGGCCUUGCGCUAAUAGAUGAGCCUAAGUCGGAUUAGCUAGUUGGUGGGGUAAAGGCCUACCAAGGCGACGAUCUGUAGCGGGUCUGAGAGGAUGAUCCGCCACACUGGGACUGAGACACGGCCCAGACUCCUACGGGAGGCAGCAGUGGGGAAUAUUGGACAAUGGGGGGAACCCUGAUCCAGCCAUGCCGCGUGUGUGAAGAAGGCCUUUUGGUUGUAAAGCACUUUAAGCGAGGAGGAGGCUACCGAGAUUAAUACUCUUGGAUAGUGGACGUUACUCGCAGAAUAAGCACCGGCUAACUCUGUGCCAGCAGCCGCGGUAAUACAGAGGGUGCAAGCGUUAAUCGGAUUUACUGGGCGUAAAGCGCGCGUAGGUGGCCAAUUAAGUCAAAUGUGAAAUCCCCGAGCUUAACUUGGGAAUUGCAUUCGAUACUGGUUGGCUAGAGUAUGGGAGAGGAUGGUAGAAUUCCAGGUGU